GAUGAACGCUGGCGGCAUGCCUAACACAUGCAAGUCGAUCGGUAAGGCUCUUCGGAGUACACGAGAGGCGGACGGCUGAGUAACGCGUAGGAACACACCCUGCAGUGAGGGAUAAGACACCGAAAGGUGUUCUAAUACCGCAUACGGUCUUCGGAUUAAAGCAUUUAUGCGCUGAAGGAGUGGCCUGCGUCAUAUUAGAUAGUUGGUGAGGUAAUGGCUCACCAAGUCGAUGAUGUGUAGCUGGUCUGAGAGGAUGAUCAGCCAGUCUGGAACUGAGAUACGGUCCAGACUCCUACGGGAGGCAGCAGUGAGGAAUAUUUCACAAUGAGCGAAAGCUUGAUGGAGCAAUGCCGCGUGCAGGAUGAAGGCCCUCGGGUUGUAAACUGCUUUUAUAAGAGAAGAUUAUGACGGUAACUUAUGAAUAAGGGACGGCUAACUACGUG
This 443-nucleotide ribosomal RNA is filed under the name uncultured bacterium. RNAcentral describes it as "partial 16S ribosomal RNA". It matches the Rfam family "Bacterial small subunit ribosomal RNA", at positions 28 to 507 of the family's 1533-position model. The record is from RNAcentral.